UCACUAGUGUUCCUGAGACAGACUUGAAACAAGGACUUUGCACUUGUGCAGAGGGGCUGAGGAAAGUAAAGGGCAAUUGCGUGGGCUUCUCUGAAGAAAAACUUUCCUAAGUUACUCUGUGAUCCAGUCCUGUUGAAUGCCUAGCCACUAGAGGCCAGAGAUACAGAAAUGAAAAGGCCGGAUCCUCGCCUUCAGUUUCCUUGCAAUCGUCACCUUAGUUUUCCUGGAGACUCCACUGAGGCACGGUCUGCACUUUCCAUCACUAUGGACCCCAACCUUGGACCAGAUAUGGUAUCUACAGAAGCCCCUUGUGUCUUGCUGCUUGUGGCUUGUCAAAUCUAUGCCAACAUGGUAAUAAGAGUCCGUGAAGCAGAAGUCCACUGCAGCUCGCUGAACAAAGCCAAGACAGAUCAUCAACCGAGUGUCUAUUGUCAGAUUGACUCAAAGGCUAGUGUUCUCUCUGUUUUCUGUGCUUACUGAUUGCAUGUCACUUGAGUCAUAACCUUAAAUGUCAACCACAUUUGAUUAAGACUUUCAUCUCAGUCAGAUAGUUCUUGUUCCUUUUUUUCAUUGUUAUAAAAAUCGUGUCAUGUGCUAAAAAUCAUUUUUAAUGUAUUUUUUUUGUUAAAAAAAAAAGUCCAACAGCUCAAAAAUGUAUGCAGAAAUAGAAGCUUCACAAUUUCCAUAUAGAAGGGAUUUAGAAGUAGCCAUGUAUUCGGAACAUUCUUCUCCCAAGUAGUAACAUAACAGCCAUCACUUUUACCCUCAAUUCUGUCAAUUCUUGCAUUGAGUGUUUGACAAUUAUUUGUUUCUUGUGGCCAAAUCACGCUAACGUGUGCCUCAUCUUCACAUCUGCCUCCCUGUGUAUCCUCUCCUCUUUGUCUCAAAACUUCUCUCUGCCUUUCUUUGCUAAGGACACUUGUCAUUGGAUUUAGCACCAGCCAAGAUAAUCUGAGAUGAUCUCAUUGCAAGAUCCUUAACUAAAUUACAUCUGUAAAGAUCAUUUUUCCAAAAUAGAUAGUAUCCACAGGUUCUGGGAAUUUGACAUGGACAUAUCUUUUGGGGGAAUCACUAUUCAACCCACUAAAACCACCUUAUAUAAGAGAGUGCCCACCCAUUCUAUAAAAGAAUGUGCACCCAUCCACACCACCGUCAUUUAGUACUCACCCUGCAUUAUUCUUUUUCGUAGGAUUUGUCAUCAUUUUACAUUCUAAUGUGCUAUUAGUUACUUGUUAUUGUUCGUCUCCCCCAGGAGAAUGGAAGAUUCAUGAGAAAAGAGAUGGGUUUACUCUUUUUUUUAACGGUUUAAGUUUCAGCUGCUCAUCGCUCACAAAUCAAUAUUCAAGAGACAAGGUUGGUAGAAAGAAAAGCAGGUUUGUUCGAAAUGGUAGCAUACUGGGAGGAUAGCGGACGCCUGUCCAAAGGCCAUCUCCUCGUUCCUAGAAUGGUCAGAAGUUUUUAUAGAUACACAAGAAGAAACAGAACAAAGGAAAGGGAGAGUGAGUCAUGUGACUCUCCUGGGGCCUGGGGAGUUAGUCAUGUGACUCUCCUGGGGUCUGGUUUGUUCUGCGGUAGUUAUCUUGAACCCUGUCUUAGGGGUGAUUCAUAUGUCAUCUGAGAGAAAAUCACCAUCCAGAAUUGCAGCCUAGUUGCCAGUGUCCUGAUGGCUGAGGGCUGACUCAGUUUCUUGCAAGUUAGUGUUCUGCUGAUUAACUAGAUUAAUGAGGUAUGCAUGUAGCCUUGGGAAAGCAGAGCAAUUAAAUCAUCAGUGAGGGAGAGAAAUAAAGAAUACGAAAAAAAUAAUAAACUACGAAAUAAAUUAAAUCAAACUAUAAUUCAGUAAAACAAGCUAGAUUGCUAAAUCCUUGAAAGUAUACUGUCACCCUUACACUUUCUCCCCAGCAUUAGAAUAGCACCUGGCACAAUUCAUUUGAUGAAUGAAUGAACGGAGGAGGUAGGAAACCUUCUUGAGUCUGUGUUUGCUUACUAAGCAUGGUUUUCUACUUACAGCAUAUGUUCAUUUGGGGUGCCUUGGGGGGAGCAGGAUUGCUGAUGGAGCUCAACCAGGACCAAUAAGACACCCCAUCGUCCUGCCACUUAUAUAUAGAGAAAGCAGAUCUCGUGCCCACCUCAAUCUCUACUCUCCCAUUCCCUCUCCAAAGGCAACCAGUUAUCACUCUUCUGUGUAUAUUUCCAAAAACAUUUAGUGCAAGUAUAUGCAUCUAAGAUUGAGACUAACCUUCAACAGUGUUAUACAGCUAUAUGUUGAGUUCAUUUAUUAGAGGAAUCAAACAUUUGUUUACAAUGUCUCUUUAAACAAAAGUUCUGAUCCUUUGGGGAAGGCUUUGGACUCGUUGAAUUUCCAAUUAAAUCCGAACUCUAACCCAUACAGCCCAGACCCAUAAGUCUACUAAAUCUCUAAUCUCAUUUUGUGUCAUGAUCCACCCUCUGGCAUCUAGACAGAGAAGGGUGAGGUGAUCAGGACCUUCAACACAAGGGCUGAAAAUUUUGGCAUGAGAUUUGUACUGAAAGGCAACACAGUGAGGCUCUAGACCACCUUCAGGACCUCGUGUCUUGCUUCCCCCUCUCACCACCUCCACCCGGCCACUCUCCAGAGAUCUCCAGUGCCUAAUGCACACCAAGCACUCCUCAGAGCCUUUGCUCAACCUGCCCCCCUGCCAGGAUUACCCUUUCCUUCAUUCUUUCUAUGAACCGUUCUUUCUCAUCGCUCAAGUCUCCACAAAAAUGUCAUCUGUCAUGUGAAGCUUUCCUUGUCCUUCUAUUUGACCAGCAAAAAGCAACAGCUGGAUUGUUAAGGGAAAAAAAAGACCAGAAAUUUCAGGUGAGAUUUUACAUGAGCCAAGCCUCUCCCCUUUCCUAAUCUAGGCCCCUCUUAUUUGCUUUCAUAGAAGCCUGUACUUCCUCCACACAGCUCUCAGCAUACUGUAUUGUAAUUGCCUAUUCAUUUAUCUGUAAGUUCCAUCUCAUCAUGAUCUCCAUGAGGGCAAGAACCUUGAAAUCUUUGCUGAGUUAUGUGAGUUUUUCUAGUAAAUUAUAGAACCCAAGGAGGUCAUGGAGCCCCCAAAUUUGUAGCCAGUUGGUCAUCAAUGGGGGUGGCCUGGGGACCUGCAAAGUGUGGCUGGCAUCUGAAGUGAGGGUAGUCUUACAGAGGACUGAUCCCUUAACUUGUGGGAUCUGUGCGAACUCUGAUGGUUAGUGCCAAAACUGAAUUAUAGUACACCAGUUGGCAUUGGAAUGCCUAUCCUGAGUCUUCUAGUGGCUUCUUGCUCCAGGGUAUAAAAGAACCUGAGUCUUCCCACAAAGAUUGAAUUUGAAAUAUUCAAUAAAUAUUCAAUAUUCAAUAAAGAAGGCAAAGCCUCCUUUAACAGAGGCCUCCUAAAGAAUCAGCAGUGCUUCAUGUCUUGUCUUAUUAAAGGUGAUGGUGAUAUUGGACAUGGUACAUGUAGGCCUGUGUUAGAAUGUUCUGUAUACAUAGGUAUUGUAGAGUGAAGCUGUAGAGAGAUGACAAAUUUAAGUUAAAAGAUUUUGUCUCUCCUAAACACUAAUAUCAAAGAAUGGACCCCCUUAGGGAAUAUUCCAUGGGAACAAAGUAAAGAAAGUAUCUGUGAGAAAUACUGAAGGCAGCAGAGCCUUAGAAUUCAAAACUGAGAUGCUGAUGUAGGGUAUUUUAACAUGUUGAUGUGAAUUGAAAAAAGUCUGUUUGGGCUGAUUGAUUGAAUAAUGAAGGCUGGCUUUGCCAAUUAACUUUUAAGUUAUAUGUUGUACAUACAUUGAAUGAGAGAAAUCUGUAGUUCUAAAGUAUUAAAAAAGAUACUUAAAGCAUUUUAAUAAAUAAUAUAUUGACAAAAA
This is a long non-coding RNA of Rhinolophus ferrumequinum (greater horseshoe bat), 3870 nucleotides long. RefSeq lists it as uncharacterized. The transcript is spliced from 4 exons. Lineage: Eukaryota; Metazoa; Chordata; Mammalia; Chiroptera; Rhinolophidae. The record is from RefSeq and is a predicted model, not a curated record.